RNAcentral lists this transfer RNA (58 nucleotides) under Dipodomys ordii (Ord's kangaroo rat). It matches the Rfam family "tRNA". From Rfam's summary of the family: Transfer RNA (tRNA) molecules are approximately 80 nucleotides in length. Their secondary structure includes four short double-helical elements and three loops (D, anti-codon, and T loops). Lineage: Eukaryota; Metazoa; Chordata; Mammalia; Rodentia; Heteromyidae. The record is from Rfam by way of RNAcentral.
GGGAAGGUGGCUCAGUGGUAGAGCACUUGCCUUGCAUGCAUGAGGCCCUGACUUCCUG